AUGCAGUCGAGCGGGGUUUUCGGACCUAGCGGCGGACGGGUGAGUAAUGCGUAUGAAGCUACCCGAUAGAGGGGGAUACCAGUUGGAAACGACUGUUAAUACCGCAUAAUGUCUACGGACCAAAGUGUGGGACCUUCGGGCCACAUGCUAUCGGAUGCGCCUACGUGGGAUUAGCUAGUUGGUGAGGUAAUGGCUCACCAAGGCGACGAUCUCUAGCUGGUUUGAGAGGAUGAUCAGCCACACUGGAACUGAGACACGGUCCAGACUCCUACGGGAGGCAGCAGUGGGGAAUAUUGGACAAUGGGCGCAAGCCUGAUCCAGCCAUGCCGCGUGUGUGAAGAAGGCCUUCGGGUUGUAAAGCACUUUCAGCGAGGAGGAAGGGGUAGGUGUUAAUAGCAUCUACUUUUGACGUUACUCGCAGAAGAAGCACCGGCUAACUCUGUGCCAGCAGCCGCGGUAAUACAGAGGGUGCAAGCGUUAAUCGGAAUUACUGGGCGUAAAGCGCACGCAGGCGGUUGGUUAAGUCAGAUGUGAAAGCCCCGGGCUCAACCUGGGAAUUGCAUUUGAAACUGGCCAACUAGAGUAUGUGAGAGGGGGGU
This 599-nucleotide ribosomal RNA is filed under the name uncultured bacterium. RNAcentral's name for it is "bacterial SSU rRNA". It matches the Rfam family "Bacterial small subunit ribosomal RNA", at positions 55 to 662 of the family's 1533-position model. The record is from RNAcentral.